This is a long non-coding RNA of Cyanistes caeruleus (blue tit), 237 nucleotides long. NCBI's taxonomy places the organism in Eukaryota, Metazoa, Chordata, Aves, Passeriformes, Paridae. The record is from Ensembl.
GAAACAGAAGCCUUCAAGCUAAAUAUGGGGUAAAUAUAAAUAGCCAGUACCUGCUGAUGCCUCCCCAUAACAGGAAUUACCAUCAAAAUGCCAGUAACUGAUUCCAUCGUUGUAUCCAGUCAUUGUGGAGAGAGGCAGCCCAUUGAGAAGACAAAGCAGACAUCAUUUAUAAUUACAGAUUCUUUGUUAUAGUCCAAAGAGAAUAAAAAAAAGUGCUGAAAUUCUUCUUCUGUAGUU